UACGUAGGUGGCGAGCGUUGUCCGGAAUUACUGGGUGUAAAGGGAGCGUAGGCGGGAAUGCAAGUUGAAUUUGAAAUGUAUCGGCUCAACCGGUACCUGGGUUCAAAACUGCAUUUCUUGAGUGGGGUAGAGGCAGGCGGAAUUCCUAGUGUAGCGGUGAAAUGCGUAGAUAUUAGGAGGAACACCAGUGGCGAAGGCGGCCUGCUGGGCCCUAACUGACGCUGAGGCUCGAAAGCGUGGGGAGCAAACAGG
Molecule: ribosomal RNA, 252 nt
Filed under: uncultured bacterium
Lineage: Bacteria
Description: partial 16S ribosomal RNA
Rfam family: Bacterial small subunit ribosomal RNA
Source: RNAcentral